Molecule: non-coding RNA, 98 nt
Organism: Hypoxylon sp. FL1150
Lineage: Eukaryota; Fungi; Ascomycota; Sordariomycetes; Xylariales; Hypoxylaceae
Source: the annotation of a GenBank genome assembly
GCCCGCUUGGCACAGCGGUAAUGCGCCUCACUAGUAUCAGAAGAUUCUACUGAGAACAGCAAAUGAGGAGAUGACUGGUUCGACUCCAGUAGUGGGCA